Struthio camelus australis is the source of this 2236-nucleotide long non-coding RNA. Lineage: Eukaryota; Metazoa; Chordata; Aves; Struthioniformes; Struthionidae. The record is from Ensembl.
CGCAGCCCAGCUCCAUGUCCUCGCGCUCUCCCUUCUGCCGGCGCCAGCAAUUGCGCGGCUGCCCGAUUCCAUUUUGGAAAACCAGGAAGAGCUGGAAAUUGAUGACAAUUCUACAUUUUGAACAGUUGGAGCACAAGAUUCACAUUCACUCAAUUUCCUGCUGGCAGCAACUCAAAGCUGCACUGCAAAGAAAAAGGUGGGGAAAACUGAGGUACAAUUGUUCCCAAUUUGCUAAAGGACACCUAACAAAUCUCUGUCAGAGAUAGCAAUGGAACCCACUUGUGUGUCUCCACCAGAAGACUCUGAAAGACUGAGGCUUGCUCAUGUCUGAGGGGCACAAGCUGUACUGGGCCAUGCCAGGGCCGGACAUUGUGCUUUGAGGGAUACAAAGCUUCUGGGCUCUUUUGACCUUAUGGGACCGUACAGCUAUCUGACAUUACACCCAAGGGUCGAGUACCAUUUCUUCUCCCAUGAUGUAUGCAGCUUUAUUCCCCACCUCAUGGGGAGUCAUGGGUGACUUGAAAUUUUAGCUUUGUUCAACCUUUACAUUUAAUGAGACUAAAUUUUGAAACUGUAGUUGAUCCCUAUGCAAUGGAAGAGAUCUUACACUUUAAAUUCUAUGCACAGAUUAGCCAUACCAUGGUAUUUUCUACACAAUAAGCAUGUUUAUACACAGCUUUGCAAUUGUUUUAGCAACAAGCCUUGAAUCCCAUGAAUUGUUGUACAUUACUGUUCUACAGACCACCUGGGUGGGGGAAAGCAAUGUAGUUACUUUGUAGUUUUGAAGUGACUGGAAAUUACUUUUGAAGGAGCUAUUCAAAGUUGGGUUGACUUUUCAAUCCUCUGCCUGGGGACAUAAGAACAUUUCUGUACUUUUUUUUUUUUUCAACUGNNNNNNNNNNNNNNNNNNNNNNNNNNNNNNNNNNNNNUUCCUGCCCUUCUCUGCCUUUGCUACAAUGGGGGAGGGUAGCUGGUGCUUUAUGGGAGUCACCAAUAACAAAGAGAGACAUGAAUGCUAAUUUUGCCAGUUCUCAGAGUUGGUCAAAGAAGGUGUUUUAAAUAGGCUAGAUGUCACUCGCAUGCUGCUACUCAAAGGAAUUAAUGGUUGGAUUAAGUUUGCGAAUAUAAAUUAUAGGAUUUCUAGCUUCACUUCACCAUCAUCCCUAUCAAAUUACUUUUGGUGCAGAUUCAAUGCCAGAUGGCUCCUCAAAUGUGUCAGAUGUCCAUGCAGAAAAUUCAUUUCAGGGUCACUUCUUUGUUUUGUUUCCUUGAAGACCCUAUUGAUUCCUGCUCCCCAUGGAGAAGGAUUUUAUUGAGCUCUUGGGAAAGGGAAUGCUGUUUAGAGGAGACUGCUGAAAGAUCAAAUCCCUGAAGAGCAAGCAGAAAACUGAGCCAAACCAGAAAUGCAACAUGGAAGAGUGAAAAAGAUAGUGUUCCAAUUUACAUUCCUUUAAAUUGGUUUAAUGUUAAUGAAACUCAAUCAAGACUUAAGAAUAUGAUAAUAAUUUGCACUAAGCAUUGCCAGAAAAGUAUAGAGGGGUCAUAAGGCUUUAUCUUGAUGUUAAAAUUUAAAGAAUUGAUUUAGUUAAACCAGGGAAAAUGUCUGUGUGAAUAUUUACAUGUGCUGGCUAAAAUUGGCCAUAGGAGUUUAGCUUGUGCUUGUAAAAAGAAAGUAAUGAGGUAAGCUAAACUGAUAUAAGAGGUUUACAUUGCAUUAAGAGUGUUCAUUCAGGGAUUUGUAGAGUUUAACUAAAUCAUUUUAAAAAUCUGAACUGUGUGUUUAGAUCAAAUGUUAGCAUAAAGAAAGACUUGGGUAUAAAAUUUAUUACACUGACCCCCGACUAUGGGGGCCUCAGUCUAGGAGCAAAUGGAAAAGGUAGUUUCUAAAAUCAUCUAAUGUUGUUAUCUGUAAAUAUUAACUGUCUGACUUUGAAGUGAUUAACAUGAACACUGAUAUUGCACUUCUCUGCCCUGCAUUUUAAUGGCUUUAGUUCUUUAGAGUUAGAGCAGCAUCUUUCUCCGUUUGCAUAUUUGUGAGUAUCCACAUGCAAGGGCCUGCAAAGACACACUAGUCAUUAAAGGACCAUUAGAGCAAGAACUCAGAAUUUGGAAGCUGCCUAGAGAGCAGGAAUAUUUAAAUAAUAGCAAUAAGCAUGCUGGAGACUUCAGAAGAUUAAAGGAUGCUGGAGUAAUUCCAAGCAAUAAAUCUGAUCUCUACAUAUACUGUAGCGAGUUU